UGGGGAAUUUUGGACAAUGGGCGAAAGCCUGAUCCAGCAAUGCCGCGUGUGUGAAGAAGGCCUUCGGGUUGUAAAGCACUUUUGUCCGGAAAGAAAUCCUUGGCUCUAAUACAGUCGGGGGAUGACGGUACCGGAAGAAUAAGCACCGGCUAACUACGUGCCAGCAGCCGCGGUAAUACGUAGGGUGCAAGCGUUAAUCGGAAUUACUGGGCGUAAAGCGUGCGCAGGCGGUUUGCUAAGACCGAUGUGAAAUCCCCGGGCUCAACCUGGGAACUGCAUUGGUGACUGGCAGGCUAGAGUAUGGCAGAGGGGGGUAGAAUUCCACGUGUAGCAGUGAAAUGCGUAGAGAUGUGGAGGAAUACCGAUGGCGAGGGCAGCCCCCUGGGCCAAUACUGACGCUCAUGCACGAAAGCGUGGGGAGCAAACAGGAUUAGAUACCCUGGUAGUCCACGCCCUAAACGAUGUCAACUAGUUGUUGGGGAUUCAUUUCCUAGUAACGUAGCUAACGCGUGAAGUUGACCGCCUGGGGAGUACGGUCGCAAGAUU
Molecule: ribosomal RNA, 546 nt
Filed under: uncultured bacterium
Lineage: Bacteria
Description: partial 16S ribosomal RNA
Rfam family: Bacterial small subunit ribosomal RNA
Source: RNAcentral